AGCGAACGCUGGCGGCAGGCCUAACACAUGCAAGUCGAACGAAGUCUUCGGACUUAGUGGCGGACGGGUGAGUAACACGUGGGAACGUGCCUUUAGGUUCGGAAUAACUCAGGGAAACUUGUGCUAAUACCGAAUGUGCCCUUCGGGGGAAAGAUUUAUCGCCUUUAGAGCGGCCCGCGUCUGAUUAGCUAGUUGGUGAGGUAAAGGCUCACCAAGGCGACGAUCAGUAGCUGGUCUGAGAGGAUGAUCAGCCACAUUGGGACUGAGACGCGGCCCAAACUCCUACGGGAGGCAGCAGUGGGGAGUCUUGCGCAAUGGGCGAAAGCCUGACGCAGCCAUGCCGCGUGAAUGAUGAAGGUCUUAGGAUUGUAAAAUUCUUUCACCGGGGACGAUAAUGACGGUACCCGGAGAAGAAGCCCCGGCCAACUUCGUGCCAGCCGCCGCCGUAA
This 449-nucleotide ribosomal RNA is filed under the name uncultured bacterium. Its description in RNAcentral is "partial 16S ribosomal RNA". It matches the Rfam family "Bacterial small subunit ribosomal RNA", at positions 29 to 523 of the family's 1533-position model. The record is from RNAcentral.